UGACUAUUCCCUCCGUCCCAAAAUUCUUGUCUUAAAUUAGUCAGAUACGGAUGUAUCUAAUACUAAAAUAUGACUUGAUACAUCUGUAUUUAAACAAAUCUAAGACAAAAAAUUUGGGACGGAUGGAGUACAUA
Molecule: non-coding RNA, 134 nt
Organism: Triticum aestivum (bread wheat)
Lineage: Eukaryota; Viridiplantae; Streptophyta; Magnoliopsida; Poales; Poaceae
Source: Rfam